ACAGCAGUGGGAAGCUGAUAUCAGCGCUCUGUACCAUUGAUAAAGAACCUGAGGCCCAGAGGAGGAGUAUCUUGCCCAAAACCACAGGACAGGGAGACGUGCAGACAGAAAGACCCCAGCAGUCCUGAAUCAAGGUAUAGUGCCUUGUUUACAACUGCAUGCUGCCUCCCACUGUAGCCUUGGUAAAGUACAGUAGAGUCUUGAGAUGAUAUUAAAAAUAUUGCAGUUUUAUAAGCAUACUUAAUAAAGAAAGACUUUUGCCACAUGUUUCAUCACCCAAAGAUGCUAUAAGGAAUUAUUCUAAAACCUUGUGCUUAAGGGAUUUUGGGUAAUAAAACAGUUUGCAGAGAAGAAGGGUAGCACUCCUGAGACAGUAAUGAUCCCCUAGGUAUCCUCCAGGCUGCUAGAUGAAAGCGAGAGAGGCAGAGAAGCCAUUUUUUUUGAAAGUAGAAAUAUCUGUCUUAGAGAUAAAGAUACAACGUUUUGUGGAUGAAAUGCAAAAAGAAGAGACAACAAGAAUCAAGAUCUUUUAGGCUUGGUAGCCAUAAAUUCAGAGGAAAUUAUUACAAACUUUAAAUACAGAAGCCCUAGGCACCCUAUGCACCAGUAAUAAAUCACCAAAGUGAAUGAUUACCUCACUGUUCUAUCCAACACCAUCCAUGUGGAUGUUUUAUGGAAAGUAUGUCUGGAUAUGACUGAUGAUAUAAAGAACUGAGGGACAUCAGCUCGUGUGGGAACAGACAUUUCAGGCAAGACAAAAAACCUACAAAGGGUGAAGAGGGAAAGAAUGCCAGAAAAGGUGGUUCACGCAGAGUUGGCAAUGGCUUCUCAAAAGAAAUCCGAUGCAACAGCCAUGACUGUGGUCCGGAACAGGGAGUGCAAAGCCAGGAGGAUGGCAGCACUUUGGAUACAGGGGUAUGAAGCUCUGCCCCAGCAGGACUUCUACAUCAGCAAUACAGUAUCACAAAAUCACAGAAUGGGUGAGGUUGAAAGGGACCUCUGGAGGUCAUCUGGCCAAGCAAGGACACCCAGAGCAGGCUGCCCAGCACCAUGUCCAGGUGUUUUUUGAAGAUCUCCAAGGCGAUCUUCCACAGCCUCCCUGAACAACCUGUGCCCGUGCUCUGUCACCCGCAGAGCACAGAAGUGCUGCCUGAUGGUCAGAGGGAACCUCCUGUGUACCAGUUUGUGCCCAUUGCUUCUUGUUCCAUUGCUGCGCACCACUGAACAGAGCCUGGCUCUGCCCUCUUUGUACCCUCCCUCCAGGUAUUUAUACACAUCAGUGAGAUCCCUCUGAGCCUCCUCUUCUCCAGGCAGAACCAUCCCAGCUCUCUCAGCCUUCCCUCACAGGAGAGGUGAUCCAGUCCCUUCAUCUUCUUGGUGGCCCCGCAUUGGACUCUUUCCAGUAUGUCCAUGUCUCUCUCGUACUGGGUGGCCCAGAACUGACGAUAGUACUCCAGGUGCAGCCUCACCUUGCUUUUCCCUCUGUCAGUGAGUGAUCCCCAUUCCGUAUUACUGUAAAACAUGAAAAACCUGCUCUAAAAACAAAACCAUUAGUUUCCUUUUGAGAUUUUCCGUGUUGCUUUUUAUACUGUUUCAUGUCAUUCAGUCAUUUCCAAAUGUCCAGGUGUUUUUUUAGUCACAAAAUUCUUAGGAAGGUGGAGUGCUGUUUGCAUGUUCCUGAAUGAGAACUGAGGACCAGAGAGGAGAGAAGGGGCCUGGUGAAACGAGGGACCCAGGUAGGACUUUCUGAACACCUCCUGCAAGCCAUAUCGGCACAGCCCUCCACCUCUGAACAAACCACCAGGACUGGCUCAAGUGUUGUUCCUCCAACACCCAACUUAUUUUAGACCUUUUCUUCAGCAUGAAAACAAAUCCCAGCCUUACUGGGGGAAGCCCAGCCCAGGUGGUUGGCGUGGUAGGAGAAUGAUUGCCUAGAGGCAGGGACGGACUGCAGCUGGACAGGAUAAUAGUGGACUGCUUUGUCUUGAGCUCACCCUUCCUUUUGGCUGCCCCUUCCCUGGCACUUCCCUACUAACAGUGGCCACCUCUCUUCUUUCCCCACAACUCUCCCUCUCUCACUAUUUGUUUAACAGUAGCAUUUUCCUAAGGAAUACAUACUUAUGGAUGUAUGUCAUUCUCUUCCAUUUUUCUCCAUUCUGACUUUGUUUUUUCAUUUUCUCUCCCUCCAUGCAGUAGCAUGCACUGAGUUGAAGAAUGAUGCCCAGGUCCUUCAGCGUCAUGUUUUCUGUCUCACUGGGCACAUUUGCAAGUGGUUUGUAGCUAUAAAUGAGGCCACAAAUUUCAGUGAGCUUAGCAGCUCUCUCUAUGACACCUCGUGCCCUGAUUAAUAUUGUAAUAACAUAGUCCUUAAGCCACAAGUCAUUGCAUAAUCUUUCUUUUGUAGCCUUACCCUGCUUUUGUCAUGUGGUUCAUGUAAUCUCUUGGGAAUUCUGUCACUCCCUUUACCAUCAUGGUCAAGAAACCUCCCAAAUAAGUACCCUACCAUUCCACUCACAAGAUCAGCAGCUGUUUGGAAAUAUGUAGAAUAUUUGGAAAAUAUUUGCAGUUUUUAAUGAAGCUGAAAAUCAGAAGAAGGUACUGACUAUACCAUUUUACCUCUACAACCUUCUAACAAGUGGUCCAUGAACCAAGGCUUGAGAACCUCUUUCACUUUUAUACUUGUUACGAAGUUAUCAGCUUUUUAUUUGGAAAGACUCUUAAUAUGCUCCUGAAAGUGGCACAAAUAAUUAUUCUUUUGAGUAAUAAUUAAUGAAGAAUCUCUCAUAAGUGUUACAAAAACAGAGAUUCCCUUGCUUAGCCUGACUCUUCUUGCAGUGCUCCAUGCAUUGGCUCUUCAAAUCCACCAACAUAGCAAUACCCACAUGGUGCUUAUAUAUAACAGAGCAGAUUUUCAAGUACUUUUCCAAGGCUGCAUGAGACCAACAGCUGUCACUGUGACGUUUAAGAACCCAUCUAAAGGACUGAGGCUUCAGAAAAAGUUUAAUCAGUUUAAUUGCUCCUCUCAUCUUAAAAGAGAAGGCAGAAUAAUGCUGCCAGAGCAUUCUGUAAUGGAGGCACUGAAAUUGAGAUUGAGUGGGGAAAGCUGCAUUUGAGGAGCAGCUUCACCCCCAUGCUGUGCUAAGUGUUUGCAGAAUGAAGGGAAAUAUAAACUGUUGGGUUUGAUGGGCUUGAAGCAAUUGAGCUAAUGUCUAAACAAAGUUAUGUCGUUUUCUCCCCUCUCCACGUCUGUUCUUUUGCUUUAAGAUCUUAUCGUGUUGCCUUUUCCUUAUUUAUUGAUGCCGUGUUUUCAACAAAUCUGAAUCCCUACACAAGACAAAAGGAAAUAAAAUAGACUACUAUGGUACA
This 3366-nucleotide long non-coding RNA is filed under the name Anser brachyrhynchus (Pink-footed goose). RNAcentral describes it as "lncRNA (ENSABRG00000022694.1)". Lineage: Eukaryota; Metazoa; Chordata; Aves; Anseriformes; Anatidae. The record is from RNAcentral.